RNAcentral lists this ribosomal RNA (254 nucleotides) under uncultured bacterium. Its description in RNAcentral is "partial 16S ribosomal RNA". It matches the Rfam family "Bacterial small subunit ribosomal RNA", at positions 524 to 776 of the family's 1533-position model. The record is from RNAcentral.
UACGGGGGGAGCAAGCGUUGUUCGGAUUUACUGGGCGUAAAGGGCGCGUAGGCGGCCACCGCAAGUCGACUGUGAAAUCCCAGGGCUCAACCCUGGAACUGCCAUUGAUACUGACGGGCUUGAGUUCGGUUAAGGCGGGCGGAACUGGUGGUGUAGCGGUGAAAUGCAUAGAUACCACCAAGAACCCCGAUUGCGUAGGCAGCUCGCUGAGCCGAAACUGACGCUGAGGCACGAAAGCGUGGGGAGCGAACAGG